Molecule: ribosomal RNA, 301 nt
Filed under: uncultured bacterium
Lineage: Bacteria
Description: partial 16S ribosomal RNA
Rfam family: Bacterial small subunit ribosomal RNA
Source: RNAcentral
CAGUCGCCGCGGUAAUACUGAGGGUGCAAGCGUUAUCCGGAUUUAUUGGGUUUAAAGGGUCCGUAGGCGGAUCUGUAAGUCAGUGGUGAAAUCUCACAGCUUAACUGUGAAACUGCCAUUGAUACUGCAGGUCUUGAGUAAAUUUGAAGUGGCUGGAAUAAGUAGUGUAGCGGUGAAAUGCAUAGAUAUUACUUAGAACACCAAUUGCGAAGGCAGGUCACUAAGAUUUAACUGACGCUGAUGGACGAAAGCGUGGGGAGCGAACAGGAUUAGAUACCCGUGUAGUCCCUGUCUCUUAUAC